UAAUUUGUUAGCCGUCAAUACCGAGAAAGAAAUGAAAUAAGCUACAUCCCUGUGGCCAAUUCUGAGGUUUGGGACUCGGUUGAAAAUUCAGAUACAGAGAAGAGAACUUUGAGCGGGGAAAUGAAGUUGAUUAGUAUUCAUCAUGAGUGAUCGAGCGAGUGGUAGAUUGAUUAGGGUUAGCCUAGAUGGAUGUGUAUUCAUGGUUCCGACGAAGCCUUUCUAGAACUACAAAGACCACUACCACAACUGUCACUGCUCAACCGGACGACGAACUACUCUACGGCGUCAGUGAUCAAUUAGUCGAUUUUAUCAAAUCCUUCUCCAUUGACACCUUUCGAAACUUCUCUCUCCCAAAUGAGGACGAUGGAGAUACUCCCGAGAAUGUACGGAGAGAUCUAUCUGAUUGGCAACAACGUCAUGCUUUGCUUGUUCUCUCCAAACUCAAGGAACUCUCACAAUUGAGGUUCAAAUUAUGUCCGCGUUUUUUAAAGGAUCACCAAUUUUGGACAAUAUAUUUUGCUCUCGUUAAGGAUUUUGUUGCCAAAUAUGAGCUACGUGCUAUACAAUUAGAUAAGCUCAAACAGAUGAGAUUGGAAAGUGAAAAUUCACCAGAUGUUGCUGCAUGCGAAGUUGAGAUGUCUGAAGCAAAGAGAACAACGGAUGUAUCACCUACAAUUUCUGAGGAUCACAAUUAGUAUCUCCUUUGGAUAUGUCACUAGUUAUCAGGCUCAUAGGGUACCUUAAACCCCAAGCCAAGUUCAAAUCCUUUCUACUAGUUAUGUUUUUCGCAAGAGUUCAUGCAAGGGUCAGCUUCAAACGACCAUGUCUCUCAACAAAUAAAGAGUUAGAUGAGCCAUGACUUGUCAAAUUAAAGACGCUAUAUUGUGUGCACGAGCAGCGCGUCGACUGCAUGUUGGCGCACUGAGGCAACGACUACUACCUUGCUGCACGCUGGUUGCGCACCCAAGACUUUAUCCGCACAACAGCGCACGUGAAAAAUUAGUGCAAUCUCUAGGAAAACAGAAAGAAAGAAGCAAUGUAGGAAAUACAGUUGGAAAACGGAAAGUGAAACAGAAUAUCUGAGAUUUGCAAGGGAAGAUAUUCAAAAAUGGGAAGUUUUAUGUGUCAAAACAGCCUUCUUUACUAACAGCCAUGACAAGCAUGCCACCUUCAGAGAUGGUGCAGACUUAUCUGCCGCAUGGCUGGACAAUCGGUGCAAGUUACAAGGUGAUUUAUAGUUCUGUGAAUGCAUAGAAGAUCAGAUCUCAUAGGAUUAAUCUUAGGUUGGUUAAAUACAUUUUCAUGUUGAUCAAGUAUAAGCUUAUCUUAAUGUUACUACUUGGAGCACCACUCUUCCUGUCUGACCUUAAUUUAUUAAUGGUACUAGCUUGAUAAUCUCAAAUGUUGGGAGAUUAUGUGUCAAAUGAAUGUCUCUUACCUUGCUGUGUUGAA
Molecule: non-coding RNA, 1452 nt
Organism: Solanum lycopersicum (tomato)
Lineage: Eukaryota; Viridiplantae; Streptophyta; Magnoliopsida; Solanales; Solanaceae
Source: RefSeq, a predicted model, not a curated record